ACAUACUUGCGAGUUGGAUGUGGCGUUUAUAGCUGAGGGACACUGAUUUGUCUCAGCCCCUGUCUGUCCCACAACAGGAGCUGUUAAUUGUUUAAAUUAGUGUUUGGGUUAUU
Long non-coding RNA from Melanotaenia boesemani (Boeseman's rainbowfish), 113 nucleotides. RefSeq lists it as uncharacterized. The record is from RefSeq and is a predicted model, not a curated record. Lineage: Eukaryota; Metazoa; Chordata; Actinopteri; Atheriniformes; Melanotaeniidae. The transcript is spliced from 3 exons.